CCCGUAGUGGCGCACGGGUGAGUAACGCGUGGGAACCUGCCCUGUGGUACGGAAUAACUCCGGGAAACUGGAGCUAAUACCGUAUGUGUCCUGCGGGACAAAGAUUGCAUCGCCAUGGGAGGGGCCCGCGUAGGAUUAGCUUGUUGGUGGGGUAACGGCCUACCAAGGCGUCGAUCCUUAGCUGGUCUGAGAGGAUGAUCAGCCACACUGGGACUGAGACACGGCCCAG
Molecule: ribosomal RNA, 229 nt
Filed under: uncultured bacterium
Lineage: Bacteria
Description: partial 16S ribosomal RNA
Rfam family: Bacterial small subunit ribosomal RNA
Source: RNAcentral